AGUUUGACUGGGGCGGUCUCCUCCCAAAGAGUAACGGAGGAGCACGAAGGUGGGCUAAUCACGGUUGGACAUCGUGAGGUUAGUGCAAUGGCAUAAGCCCGCUUAACUGCGAGAAUGACGGUUCGAGCAGGUGCGAAAGCAGGUCAUAGUGAUCCGGUGGUUCUGUAUGGAAGGGCCAUCGCUCAACGGAUAAAAGGUACUCCGGGGAUAACAGGCUGAUACCGCCCAAGAGUUCAUAUCGACGGCGGUGUUUGGCACCUCGAUGUCGGCUCAUCACAUCCUGGGGCUGAAGUCGGUCCCAAGGGUAUGGCUGUUCGCCAUUUAAAGUGGUACGCGAGCUGGGUUUAGAACGUCGUGAGACAGUUCGGUCCCUAUCUGCCGUGGGCGUUGGAAGAUUGAAGGGGGCUGCUCCUAGUACGAGAGGACCGGAGUGGACGAACCUCUGGUGUUCGGGUUGUGUCGCCAGACGCAUUGCCCGGUAGCUAAGUUCGGAAUUGAUAAGCGCUGAAAGCAUCUAAGCGCGAAGCGAGCCCUGAGAUGAGUCUUCCCUGAUACUUUAAGUAUCCUAAAGGGUUGUUCGAGACUAGAACGUUGAUAGGCAGGGUGUGUAAGCGUUGUGAGGCGUUGAG
This 629-nucleotide ribosomal RNA is filed under the name Vibrio cholerae. Its description in RNAcentral is "partial 23S ribosomal RNA". It matches the Rfam family "Bacterial large subunit ribosomal RNA", at positions 2267 to 2890 of the family's 2925-position model. The record is from RNAcentral. Lineage: Bacteria; Pseudomonadati; Pseudomonadota; Gammaproteobacteria; Vibrionales; Vibrionaceae.